Pteronotus mesoamericanus is the source of this 109-nucleotide small nuclear RNA. The record is from RefSeq and is a predicted model, not a curated record. Lineage: Eukaryota; Metazoa; Chordata; Mammalia; Chiroptera; Mormoopidae.
GUGCUCACCUUGCUUCAGCAGCACAUGCACUGAAACUGGAACAACACAGAGAUUAGUGCGGCCCCUGAGCAAGGAUGACACGCAGAUUCGCGCGGCGUUCCAUAUCUGA